Molecule: long non-coding RNA, 397 nt
Organism: Gossypium arboreum
Lineage: Eukaryota; Viridiplantae; Streptophyta; Magnoliopsida; Malvales; Malvaceae
Exons: 2
Source: RefSeq, a predicted model, not a curated record
UGAUUUUUAGACCCAUAUGAAUAUUGUGACUGAUUGGUAGGCUAAAUGUGAUGUUAUAGAUGAUGAAAAUUGAGACUUGGACCUAGAACGGAAAGAAAUCGAUUUAUGGACGAGUAUGUCCUUUUCACAUUUGUGGUAUCGAGAGUUUCCAGGUUAGCUCGGGUUGGAGGCCGUCAGAGAUAUUAUCACCCUAUCGAGUUAACGUUAUCGGAUAAGUAAACUCAAGUGAUUCGAGUCUAUGGCAUGUAUAGGGUUUUAAUGUGAGUAUGUAAUAUUAUGAUUUAGCCAAAGGCAUUGGCUUGUUAUUAAGGUAGUAUUAGUCAUGUAAAUUGGCCUAUGUCGGCUAAUGACAUUAUGGGCCCAUAUGAUUAUUCUUAUGCAUGUAUGUUAUUAUCUA